This 32-nucleotide non-coding RNA is filed under the name Homo sapiens (human). Lineage: Eukaryota; Metazoa; Chordata; Mammalia; Primates; Hominidae. The record is from RNAcentral.
GAGUAAGUCAUAAGAGAUCGAAAAGGUGACAG